AUGGAGGCAAUCUCCACAUCUGGUCUUAGAUUGACAGAACUGAAUCUCUACGACAUAACGUUGUCAUGUGGAUCACAUGGGCCUCCAGCCCUCCCAGGUUUAGGCUGCAGACAAGUAGUUAAUGAACAGGUCAAGUGCCUGGAGCACCCUUCUAAGACUGCAUUCAGUCAUUACCAAGGUGAGCAUUUUUAUGCAUCCAUUGAUUCAUCAACUCUGAAUAUUAAAUACCCAGCACUCCCUCUUCUCCUGACCUUUUUUGUGCUUACUGUCUACAGAGUCUUGGUUGUGUUCACUGUCUCUAUGUUCUAUGCCUCCUUGUUGUCUGAAAUCCUGACCAGUCAAGCAGGAUUCAUAUAUCACCUGACCACUUGUCAUCUCCACUUGAAUUUCUCACCAACAUCUCAAACAAAACAUGUCUCAAAGUUAGAUCAUAGUCAUCUCCUUCCCUGCAAAAACUAUUUUGCUCCAGUGACUCUAGGUCAGUUGAAAGCACCACUACUCAUCUAAGUGUUUAAUCCAAAAGUCUAAUUCAUCCUUACCUCCUCUCUUUUCCUCAUCCCAUACACAAUCAAACACCCAGGUCUGUUGUUUACGUUUUCCUUCUAUUGCCAGAACAUGUUUCCUUCUUUCUCUUCUCAUUACUAAAAGCUAUUACUGAAAUAAUGUUUUAAAAAAGUACAUACACUGUUUCUUAAAAUCAUUUGCUUAGGGAACCCUGGGUGGCACAGCGGUUUGGCGCCUGCCUUUGGCCCAGGGUGCGGUCCUGGAGACGUGGGAUCGAAUCCCAUGUCGGGCUCCUGGUGCAUGGAGCCUGCUUCUCCCUCUGCCUGUGUCUCUGCCUCUCUCUCUGUGUGUGACUAUCAUAAAUAAAUUUUAAAAAAAUAAAAAAAAUCA
RNAcentral lists this long non-coding RNA (894 nucleotides) under Vulpes vulpes (red fox). RNAcentral describes it as "lncRNA (ENSVVUG00000013749.1)". Lineage: Eukaryota; Metazoa; Chordata; Mammalia; Carnivora; Canidae. The record is from RNAcentral.